UAAAAACCUAGGUGAAUAUACUGUAAAUUUUCAAGAUUUAAGAUACCUUGUGGUGGUUUUUAG
RNAcentral lists this transfer RNA (63 nucleotides) under Macracanthorhynchus hirudinaceus (giant thorny-headed worm). RNAcentral's name for it is "transfer RNA-Trp". Lineage: Eukaryota; Metazoa; Acanthocephala; Archiacanthocephala; Oligacanthorhynchida; Oligacanthorhynchidae. The record is from RNAcentral.